UGAUUGGCUUUAUUAAAAGCCACUUUAUGUAUUUUAACUAUUUUCA
Molecule: non-coding RNA, 46 nt
Organism: Nomascus leucogenys (northern white-cheeked gibbon)
Lineage: Eukaryota; Metazoa; Chordata; Mammalia; Primates; Hylobatidae
Source: Rfam